AUGACGCUAGAAGAAGCACCAUUUUACCCACGCGAGAAGCUCGUUCAGAAGCAGCAGUAUUUCCAGAAGCUGAGCAAGCAUAUCCACCUUAAAGGCCGUUACGAUGUGGUCACCUCUGUUGCCAUUCCCCUUGCGCUUGCUGGCGCCAGCUUGUUCAUGAUUGGUCGUGGGAUCUACAACAUGUCUAACGGGAUCGGGAAAAAGGAGUGA
This 210-nucleotide ribosomal RNA is filed under the name Triticum aestivum (bread wheat). RNAcentral's name for it is "partial small subunit ribosomal RNA". Lineage: Eukaryota; Viridiplantae; Streptophyta; Magnoliopsida; Poales; Poaceae. The record is from RNAcentral.